UUUCUCUUUCCAAUGCGUUGUCUCCAAUCUCGAGUUCUCUCGUCGCGCUCUGGUGAUCAUUGUUCCCUCUUCCCGCGGUUUCUGGUUGCCACCCUUCCCUAUAAAUGCCUUUGAAAAGUCGGCAUUUUGAUAGCAGAUGUUGGCAAAAGAUUGGAACUUGGAAGCCUUAAAACCAGAAAGGUGGAAACUUUGGGGAUAACAAGCACCACAGGGGAGAAAAAGAAUUUUUUUUUUUUAAGCCUAUGUACAUAAACUUUGGCUAAAAACCAACACAGGUCUUCUUAAUUUUGGUCCAUGGGUUCUAUUUGUGUAUUAGAUUGCAUAAUUUCUUGUUUGAUGCCGUUGGAAGUUGAUUUGAAGACAGAAGAAAGAUUAAAGGCAUUGCAGCACUAGCCAAAGAUUUGGUUGAGAGAAGCUGCUUGGAUUCUAAACAUGAGAUUUAGGACUGGAAGGAGAAGGAAGCCCUUUAUUCCAAAAGUCUUCGGGAGGAAGGAGAAGAAAAUAUCCAAGGGAAAUGAAAUGUCGC
Non-coding RNA from Phoenix dactylifera (date palm), 526 nucleotides. The record is from RefSeq and is a predicted model, not a curated record. NCBI's taxonomy places the organism in Eukaryota, Viridiplantae, Streptophyta, Magnoliopsida, Arecales, Arecaceae.